Molecule: transfer RNA, 74 nt
Filed under: bacterium
Lineage: Bacteria
Also listed under: 2 other names
Description: tRNA-Ile
Rfam family: tRNA
About the family: Transfer RNA (tRNA) molecules are approximately 80 nucleotides in length. Their secondary structure includes four short double-helical elements and three loops (D, anti-codon, and T loops).
Source: RNAcentral
GGGCCUUUAGCUCAGUUGGUUAGAGCGCUGUGCUGAUAACGCAGAGGUGCGUGGUUCGAUUCCACGAAGGCCCA